RNAcentral lists this ribosomal RNA (459 nucleotides) under uncultured bacterium. Its description in RNAcentral is "partial 16S ribosomal RNA". It matches the Rfam family "Bacterial small subunit ribosomal RNA", at positions 338 to 795 of the family's 1533-position model. The record is from RNAcentral.
CCUACGGGCGGCAGCAGUGAGGAAUAUUGGUCAAUGGCCGAGAGGCUGAACCAGCCAAGUCGCGUGAAGGAAGACGGCGCUAAGCGUUGUAAACCUCUUUUGUCGGGGGACAAAACCAGGCACGUGUGACUCAUUGAGGGUACUUGAAGAAAAAGCAUCGGCUAACUCCGUGCCAGCAGCCGCGGUAAUACGGAGGAUGCGAGCGUUAUCCGGAUUUAUUGGGUUUAAAGGGUGCGCAGGCGGACGGUCAAGUCAGCGGUCAAAGUGCGGGGCUCAACCCCGGCGUGCCGUUGAAACUGGAUGCCUAGAGAGCGCGAGAAGUAUGCGGAAUGCGUGGUGUAGCGGUGAAAUGCAUAGAUAUUGCGCAGAACUCCGAUUGCGAAGGCAGCAUACCGGCGCGGAACUGACGCUCAUGCACGAAAGCGUGGGUAUCGAACAGGAUUAGAUACCCGAGUAGUC